RNAcentral lists this transfer RNA (70 nucleotides) under Metavelifer multiradiatus. Its description in RNAcentral is "tRNA-Arg". It matches the Rfam family "tRNA". From Rfam's summary of the family: Transfer RNA (tRNA) molecules are approximately 80 nucleotides in length. Lineage: Eukaryota; Metazoa; Chordata; Actinopteri; Lampriformes; Veliferidae. The record is from RNAcentral.
AGGCGGUUGGUUUAAAGAAAAACGUUUGAUUUCGGCUCAGAAGCUUAUGGUUCAACCCCAUAACCACCUA